AACGCACCUUGCGCCCUUUGGUAUUCCGAAGGGCAUGCCUGUUUGAGUGUCAUUAAAUUAUCAACCUUGCUUGCUUUUACUAGCUUGAGUGAGGCUUGGAUGUGAGGGCUUGCUGGCUUCCUUCAGUGGAUGGUCUGCUCCCUUUAAAUGCAUUAGUGGGAUCUCUUGUGGACCGUCACUUGGUGUGAUAAUUAUCUAUGCCAUUUGACUUUGAAGCAAACUUAUGGGAACCUGCUUACAACCGUCUUCGGACAACUUUUGACAUUUUGACCUCAAAUCAGGUAGGACUACCCGCUGAACUUAA
RNAcentral lists this unclassified non-coding RNA (304 nucleotides) under Mycena sp. RNAcentral describes it as "partial contains 5.8S ribosomal RNA, internal transcribed spacer 2, and large subunit ribosomal RNA". The stretch from base 1 to 52 matches the Rfam family "5.8S ribosomal RNA", at positions 103 to 154 of the family's 154-position model. RNAcentral also lists the same sequence under 1 other name. Lineage: Eukaryota; Fungi; Basidiomycota; Agaricomycetes; Agaricales; Mycenaceae. The record is from RNAcentral.